This 71-nucleotide small nucleolar RNA is filed under the name Euglena gracilis. Its description in RNAcentral is "Eg-m174 box C/D methylation-guide". Lineage: Eukaryota; Euglenozoa; Euglenophyceae; Euglenales; Euglenaceae. The record is from RNAcentral.
GCGAUGAUGACACCCCCUGUUGUAUUAGCCACAAGCUGAGGAGAUGAUGUUUCCGCAUCUUUGGACUGAGC